RNAcentral lists this ribosomal RNA (354 nucleotides) under bacterium LimA-100-J-203. RNAcentral describes it as "bacterial SSU rRNA". It matches the Rfam family "Bacterial small subunit ribosomal RNA", at positions 294 to 640 of the family's 1533-position model. The record is from RNAcentral.
GAGAGGAUGAUCAGCCACACCGGAAUUGAGACACGGUCCAGACUCCUACGGGAGGCAGCAGUGGGGAAUAUUGCACAAUGGGGGAAACCCUGAUGCAGCCAUGCCGCGUGUGUGAAGAAGGCCUUCGGGUUGUAAAGCACUUUCAGCGAGGAGGAAAGGUCAGUAGCUAAUAUCUGCUGGCUGUGACGUUACUCGCAGAAGAAGCACCGGCUAACUCCGUGCCAGCAGCCGCGGUAAUACGGAGGGUGCAAGCGUUAAUCGGAAUUACUGGGCGUAAAGCGCACGCAGGCGGUUGGAUAAGUUAGAUGUGAAAGCCCCGGGCUCAACCUGGGAAUUGCAUUUAAAACUGUCCAG